This 848-nucleotide ribosomal RNA is filed under the name uncultured bacterium. Its description in RNAcentral is "bacterial SSU rRNA". It matches the Rfam family "Bacterial small subunit ribosomal RNA", at positions 91 to 935 of the family's 1533-position model. The record is from RNAcentral.
UUCAGCGGCGGACGGGUGGGUAAUGCCUAGGAAUCUGCCUGGUAGUGGGGGACAACGUUUCGAAAGGAACGCUAAUACCGCAUACGUCCUACGGGAGAAAGCAGGGGACCUUCGGGCCUUGCGCUAUCAGAUGAGCCUAGGUCGGAUUAGCUAGUUGGUGAGGUAACGGCUCACCAAGGCUACGAUCCGUAACUGGUCUGAGAGGAUGAUCAGUCACACUGGAACUGAGACACGGUCCAGACUCCUACGGGAGGCAGCAGUGGGGAAUAUUGGACAAUGGGCGAAAGCCUGAUCCAGCCAUGCCGCGUGUGUGAAGAAGGUCUUCGGAUUGUAAAGCACUUUAAGUUGGGAGGAAGGGCAUUAACCUAAUACGUUAGUGUUUUGACGUUACCGACAGAAUAAGCACCGGCUAACUUCGUGCCAGCAGCCGCGGUAAUACGAAGGGUGCAAGCGUUAAUCGGAAUUACUGGGCGUAAAGCGCGCGUAGGUGGUUUGUUAAGUUGAAUGUGAAAGCCCCGGGCUCAACCUGGGAACUGCAUCCAAAACUGGCAAGCUAGAGUAUGGCAGAGGGUGGUGGAAUUUCCUGUGUAGCGGUGAAAUGCGUAGAUAUAGGAAGGAACACCAGUGGCGAAGGCGACCACCUGGGCUAAUACUGACACUGAGGUGCGAAAGCGUGGGGAGCAAACAGGAUUAGAUACCCUGGUAGUCCACGCCGUAAACGAUGUCGACUAGCCGUUGGGAUCCUUGAGAUCUUAGUGGCGCAGCUAACGCAUUAAGUCGACCGCCUGGGGAGUACGGCCGCAAGGUUAAAACUCAAAUGAAUUGACGGGGGCCCGCACAAGCGGUGG